GACGAACGCUGGCGGCGUGCUUAACACAUGCAAGUCGAACGGAAAGGCCCUGCUUGCAGGGUACUCGAGUGGCGAACGGGUGAGUAACACGUGGGUGAUCUGCCCUGCACUUCGGGAUAAGCCUGGGAAACUGGGUCUACUACCGGAUAGGAGCCAUUUUUAGUGUGAUGGUUGGAAAGUUUUUUCGGUGUAGGAUGAGCUCGCGGCCUAUCAGCUUGUUGGUGGGGUAAUGGCCUACCAAGGCGGCGACGGGUAGCCGGCCUGAGAGGGUGGACGGCCACAUUGGGACUGAGAUACGGCCCAGACUCCUACGGGAGGCAGCAGUGGGGAAUAUUGCACAAUGGGCGCAAGCCUGACGCAGCGACGCCGCGUGGGGGAUGACGGCCUUCGGGUUGUAAACUCCUUUCGCUAGGGACGAAGCUUUUUGUGACGGUACCUAGAGAAGAAGCACCGGCUAACUACGUG
Molecule: ribosomal RNA, 465 nt
Filed under: uncultured bacterium
Lineage: Bacteria
Description: partial 16S ribosomal RNA
Rfam family: Bacterial small subunit ribosomal RNA
Source: RNAcentral